This 377-nucleotide ribosomal RNA is filed under the name uncultured bacterium. RNAcentral describes it as "bacterial SSU rRNA". It matches the Rfam family "Bacterial small subunit ribosomal RNA", at positions 521 to 896 of the family's 1533-position model. The record is from RNAcentral.
UAAUACAGAGGGGGCAAGCGUUGUUCGGAAUUACUGGGCGUAAAGGGCGCGUAGGCGGCCUGUUAAGUCGAACGUGAAAUCCCCGGGCUCAACCCGGGAACUGCGUCCGAUACUGGCAGGCUCGAAUUCGGGAGAGGGAUGUGGAAUUCCAGGUGUAGCGGUGAAAUGCGUAGAUAUCUGGAGGAACACCGGUGGCGAAGGCGGCAUCCUGGACCGACAUUGACGCUGAGGCGCGAAAGCCAGGGGAGCAAACGGGAUUAGAUACCCCGGUAGUCCUGGCCCUAAACGAUGAAUGCUUGGUGUAGCGGGUAUCGAUCCCUGCUGUGCCGAAGCUAACGCAUUAAGCAUUCCGCCUGGGGAGUACGGUCGCAAGGCUG